Small nucleolar RNA from Apodemus sylvaticus (European woodmouse), 142 nucleotides. RefSeq annotates it as small nucleolar RNA SNORA48. The record is from RefSeq and is a predicted model, not a curated record. Lineage: Eukaryota; Metazoa; Chordata; Mammalia; Rodentia; Muridae. The transcript has a single exon.
CUUCCCUGUCAAUAGGCAGAGACACCUCAUUGGUGGUGGUGUUCUUAUAUGAGUCAGGGGCAGAGCAAAUGACAGUUAUUUCUUCAUCCUAGCUUGAUGUCUGACUUGGUGGUCAAAGUUGUUUUAUGCCUAUGUCUCAUAA